Molecule: ribosomal RNA, 520 nt
Filed under: uncultured bacterium
Lineage: Bacteria
Description: bacterial SSU rRNA
Rfam family: Bacterial small subunit ribosomal RNA
Source: RNAcentral
AGUGAACGCUGGCGGCGUGCCUAACACAUGCAAGUCGAGCGGGGUUACUGCCGUAGCAAUACGGUGUGUGCCCAGCGGCAGACGGGUGAGUAACACGUAGACAAUCUACCUCUUAAAGGGGGAUAGCCCAUCGAAAGGUGGGGUAAUACCCCGUAAGAUCAAAAUUCGGCAUCGAGUUUUGAUGAAACGUCCGCAAGGACGGUUGAGAGAAGAGUCUGCGGCCUAUCAGCUAGUUGGCGGGGUAACAGCCCACCAAGGCGACGACGGGUAUCCGACCUGAAAGGGCGAUCGGACACACUGACACUGAGACACGGGUCAGACUCCUACGGGAGGCAGCAGUGAGGAAUUUUGGACAAUGGGGGAAACCCUGAUCCAGCGACGCCGCGUGGAGGACGAAGGUCUUCGGAUUGUAAACUCCUUUUGUCCGGGAAUAACAGAUCUGUAGAAAUACAGGAAUUGAAUGUACCGGAUGAAUAAGCCACGGCUAACUUCGUGCCAGCAGCCGCGGUUAAAGUACAGU